UACGUAGGGCGCAAGCGUUGUCCGGAAUUAUUGGGCGUAAAGAGCUCGUAGGCGGUUUGUCGCGUCUGUCGUGAAAGCUUGGGGCUUAACCCCAAGUCUGCGGUGGAUACGGGCAGACUAGAGGCAGGUAGGGGAGAACGGAAUUCCCGGUGUAGCGGUGAAAUGCGCAGAUAUCAGGAGGAACACCGGUGGCGAAGGCGGGACUCUGGGCCGAUACUGACGCUGAGGAGCGAAAGCGUGGGGAGCAAACAGG
Molecule: ribosomal RNA, 253 nt
Filed under: uncultured bacterium
Lineage: Bacteria
Description: partial 16S ribosomal RNA
Rfam family: Bacterial small subunit ribosomal RNA
Source: RNAcentral